Dermochelys coriacea (leatherback sea turtle) is the source of this 105-nucleotide long non-coding RNA. RefSeq lists it as uncharacterized. The transcript is spliced from 3 exons. Lineage: Eukaryota; Metazoa; Chordata; Testudines; Dermochelyidae. The record is from RefSeq and is a predicted model, not a curated record.
CUUUGAAAACCAUGGCGUUUGGGGGAGGUCCUGGAUGCCUAGAAAAAGGCUAAAGUAAUGCCCAUGUUUUAAAAAGGGAAGAAGGAGGAUCCGGAGAACUACAGG